This 1001-nucleotide ribosomal RNA is filed under the name Mycobacterium sp. RNAcentral's name for it is "bacterial SSU rRNA". It matches the Rfam family "Bacterial small subunit ribosomal RNA", at positions 56 to 1065 of the family's 1533-position model. The record is from RNAcentral. Lineage: Bacteria; Bacillati; Actinomycetota; Actinomycetes; Mycobacteriales; Mycobacteriaceae.
GGCAAAGGUCGAACGGUGAACACGGAGCUUGCUCUGUGGGAUCAGUGGCGAACGGGUGAGUAACACGUGAGCAACCUGCCCCUGACUCUGGGAUAAGCGCUGGAAACGGCGUCUAAUACUGGAUAUGUGACGUGAUCGCAUGGUCUGCGUCUGGAAAGAAUUUCGGUUGGGGAUGGGCUCGCGGCCUAUCAGCUUGUUGGUGAGGUAAUGGCUCACCAAGGCGUCGACGGGUAGCCGGCCUGAGAGGGUGACCGGCCACACUGGGACUGAGACACGGCCCAGACUCCUACGGGAGGCAGCAGUGGGGAAUAUUGCACAAUGGGCGCAAGCCUGAUGCAGCAACGCCGCGUGAGGGAUGACGGCCUUCGGGUUGUAAACCUCUUUUAGCAGGGAAGAAGCGAAAGUGACGGUACCUGCAGAAAAAGCGCCGGCUAACUACGUGCCAGCAGCCGCGGUAAUACGUAGGGCGCAAGCGUUAUCCGGAAUUAUUGGGCGUAAAGAGCUCGUAGGCGGUUUGUCGCGUCUGCUGUGAAAUCCGGAGGCUCAACCUCCGGCCUGCAGUGGGUACGGGCAGACUAGAGUGCGGUAGGGGAGAUUGGAAUUCCUGGUGUAGCGGUGGAAUGCGCAGAUAUCAGGAGGAACACCGAUGGCGAAGGCAGAUCUCUGGGCCGUAACUGACGCUGAGGAGCGAAAGGGUGGGGAGCAAACAGGCUUAGAUACCCUGGUAGUCCACCCCGUAAACGUUGGGAACUAGUUGUGGGGUCCAUUCCACGGAUUCCGUGACGCAGCUAACGCAUUAAGUUCCCCGCCUGGGGAGUACGGCCGCAAGGCUAAAACUCAAAGGAAUUGACGGGGACCCGCACAAGCGGCGGAGCAUGCGGAUUAAUUCGAUGCAACGCGAAGAACCUUACCAAGGCUUGACAUAUACGAGAACGGGCCAGAAAUGGUCAACUCUUUGGACACUCGUAAACAGGUGGUGCAUGGUUGUCGUCAGCUCGUGU